GCAUUCACGAAAGCAAUUUUAUUAGCAUUUGGUUUGAAAAUUAAUUUUUAUAAAUAUCUUAUCUCAUGCUAUCAUUUUUGUAUGUGGCCUACCUCUUCAUUAAAAGCUAUCUAAACAGUGCUGCCUGCCCCCGAUUAAGAAGGUUAACUCGAGGCAAUCUUCUUGAAAAGAAAGACUGUUAUCUUGGGAGAGUUAGAUUGAUUGUGAGCAACUCUAUUUUAGCUGUCUUGCCUUGUUAUUAGAUGUUUGUGUUUAAAAUUCCUAAAUGGAUUGUAAACGGAAGUGAUAAAAAUGGGGAGAACAUUUCUGCGAAAAGAGAAUGAGAGUGUCAGAGGAUUUCAUUGUCUAGUGAACCGGGAUACCAUUUGAAGGUCGAAGGAGAUGGCAGAUAAAGAACACUCGUGAGAUGGACCAGGCUAUAUUGGUUAAGUAGGUAUGGAAAGUCCUGCGCGCAUGGUUCAAGCAACCUGUGGUAGAAACAAAUUAAUUAUGCUUACUACUUGAGAAGGACAUUGGGAAUG
Molecule: long non-coding RNA, 521 nt
Filed under: Elaeis guineensis (African oil palm)
Lineage: Eukaryota; Viridiplantae; Streptophyta; Magnoliopsida; Arecales; Arecaceae
Description: long non-coding RNA (EGUI_LNC006534)
Source: RNAcentral